ACACAUGCAAGUCGAGGGGCAGCAUCCUCUAAGCUUGCUUUGAUGGAUGGCGACCGGCGCACGGGUGAGUAACACGCAUCCAACCUGCCGACAACACUGGGAUAGCCUUUCGAAAGAAAGAUUAAUACCGGAUGGUAUAGUUUUCCCGCAUGGGAUAAUUAUUAAAGAAUUUCGGUUGUCGAUGGGGAUGCGUUCCAUUAGGCAGUUGGCGGGGUAACGGCCCACCAAACCUACGAUGGAUGGGGUUCUGAGAGGAAGGUCCCCCACAUUGGAACUGAGACACGGUCCAAACUCCUACGGAAGGCAGCAGUGAGGAAUAUUGGUCAAUGGACGAGAGUCUGAACCAGCCAAGUAGCGUGAAGGAUGACUGCCCUAUGGGUUGUAAACUUCUUUUAUACGGGAAUAAAGUUAGCCACGUGUGGUUUUUUUGUAUGUACCGUAUGAAUAAGGAUCGGCUAACUCCGUGCCAGCAGCCGCGGUAAUACGGAGGAUCCGAGCGUUAUCCGGAUUUAUUGGGUUUAAAGGGAGCGUAGGCGGGUUGUUAAGUCAGUUGUGAAAGUUUGCGGCUCAACCGUAAAAUUGCAGUUGAUACUGGCGACCUUGAGUGCAACAGAGGUAGGCGGAAUUCGUGGUGUAGCGGUGAAAUGCUUAGAUAUCACGAAGAACUCCGAUUGCGAAGGCAGCUUACUGGAUUGUAACUGACGCUGAUGCUCGAAAGUGUGGGUAUCAAACAGGAUUAGAUACCCUGGUAGUCCACACAGUAAACGAUGAAUACUCGCUGUUGGCGAUAUACAGUCAGCGGCCAAGCGAAAGCAUUAAGUAUUCCACCUGGGGAGUACGCCGGCAACGGUGAAACUCAAAGGAAUUGACGGGGGCCCGCACAAGCGGAGGAACAUGUGGUUUAAUUCGAUGAUACGCGAGGAACCUUACCCGGGCUUAAAUUGCAACUGACGGAACCGGAAACGGUUCUUUCUUCGGACAGUUGUGAAGGUGCUGCAUGGUUGUCGUCAGCUCGUGCCGUGAGGUGUCGGCUUAAGUGCCAUAACGAGCGCAACCCUUACGGGUAGUUACCAUCAGGUUAUGCUGGGGACUCUACCCGGACUGCCGUCGUAAGAUGUGAGGAAGGUGGGGAUGACGUCAAAUCAGCACGGCCCUUACGUCCGGGGCUACACACGUGUUACAAUGGGGGGUACAGAAGGCAGCUACACGGCGACGUGGUGCUAAUCCCAAAAGCCUCUCUCAGUUCGGAUUGGAGUCUGCAACCCGACUCCAUGAAGCUGGAUUCGCUAGUAAUCGCGCAUCAGCCACGGCGCGGUGAAUACGUUCCCGGGCCUUGUACACACCGCCCGUCAAGCCAUGAAAGCCGGGGGUACCUGAAGUACGUAACCGAGAGGAGCGUCCUAGGGUAAAACUGGUGAUUGGGGGU
Molecule: ribosomal RNA, 1426 nt
Filed under: uncultured organism
Description: SSU rRNA
Rfam family: Bacterial small subunit ribosomal RNA
Source: RNAcentral